Molecule: ribosomal RNA, 507 nt
Filed under: Somatochlora metallica
Lineage: Eukaryota; Metazoa; Arthropoda; Insecta; Odonata; Corduliidae
Description: partial 16S rRNA
Rfam family: Bacterial large subunit ribosomal RNA
Source: RNAcentral
GUCCUUUUGAGUGUAUAUAAGGUCUGACCUGCCCAGUGAUUUAUUUUAACGGCCGCGGUAUAUUGACCGUGCAAAGGUAGCAUAAUCAUUAGUCUUUUAAAAGAGGGCUGGAAUGAAAGGUUUGACGAGGUAUUAACUGUCUCAUUUUAUUUGGAUUUAGAAUUUAACUUUUUAGUCAAAAGGCUUAAAUUUAAUUGGAAGACGAGAAGACCCUAUAGAGCUUUAUAUUAAUUAUUUUAGUUAUAAGUAUAUAAUUUUUAAUUAAAUGGGUUAUUAUUUUGUUGGGGUGACAAAAAAAUAGAACUAACUUUUUUAUUUAUUUAACAUUAAUUUAUGGUUAUUUGAUCCAUUAUUAUUGAUUAUUAGACUAAGUUACCUUAGGGAUAACAGCGUAAUCCUCUCCCAGAGUUCAUAUUUACGAGUGGGGCUUGCGACCUCGAUGUUGGAUUAAGAUAAUAAUUAGGUGUAGCCGCUUAAUUUAUAGGUCUGUUCGACCUUUAAAUUCUU